UGUUUGAUGUGCUGUAUCAAAAGGACAGUAUAUGAGUAAGGUUAGCUUUUGAAAAAGGCCUCCUUCCUUGAUUACACAUCCUAAACUGAUCAUAUAUUCUGAGCAAACA
Molecule: small nucleolar RNA, 109 nt
Organism: Triticum dicoccoides
Lineage: Eukaryota; Viridiplantae; Streptophyta; Magnoliopsida; Poales; Poaceae
Product: small nucleolar RNA Z118/Z121/Z120
Exons: 1
Source: RefSeq, a predicted model, not a curated record